This 599-nucleotide unclassified non-coding RNA is filed under the name Hevea brasiliensis (rubber tree). Lineage: Eukaryota; Viridiplantae; Streptophyta; Magnoliopsida; Malpighiales; Euphorbiaceae. The record is from RNAcentral.
UUCUGUAGAUAUUGCUGCUGUUGGUCUGGAAUUCCUUUCUAACCCAUUUUCCAAGCUCUUGAACUCGUUUCUCCCCAAUUGGAGGCUGUAAUUGGAGACCAAAAUGGUCUUCUAACAUAGUGCUUGCAUUUUCUGUUUUCCCCAUAUGUAAGGGAAGAUAUGGAGAUGCCCAUACUGUGACAUACACAGAAUCUGCAGAUAAUUCUUCAAUGUCCAACCUUAUUAGCCCACCAAUAUGAACUGAAUGGCCUUCCUUGACUCUAUAUGUCCUUGGUUUCAAUUCCUUACUGAUGUGAACAAGCUUCUGCUCAUCUCUAGUUAGCCUUGUUGUAAUCUGAUGUGGAUUUAAAAGCCCCGGUGUGUCAAAUAACUUUGCCUGCCCAGGAAGAACACCCUCCACCUUGACAAUCCCUAAUGUUGUUCCAGGAACAGGGGCCUCCGUCAAAAGAGAUAACUUCCCUUCAUUUCCACCAGCCCACUUCCCCAUUGCAUUUAUCAAUGUACUUUUACCAGCGUUCUGCAUCCCUACAGCCCACACGUUCCCUCUAGGCCCUGCCAAUGUAAUCACAUCCUCAACCAAAUCCUUCAAUCCCCAGUCU